RNAcentral lists this unclassified non-coding RNA (252 nucleotides) under Hevea brasiliensis (rubber tree). The record is from RNAcentral. Lineage: Eukaryota; Viridiplantae; Streptophyta; Magnoliopsida; Malpighiales; Euphorbiaceae.
AUAACCCUGGCAACUCUUGUAAAGUCCAACCUCUUUUUGUUCAAUUUCGAAAUGUUUGUUUCUCAUUUUUCUUCCAACGCAACUGGACUCUAUAUAUAAUAUAAUGGAUUUUAAAUGAAAGAAUUUGCUCAAAUAGAAACUAGAAAUUGAAAGAAUUAAACUCCCAUAUUUAAUCCAGUGUGAAAAGAUAGAAACGAGAAGUAUGGGAGGUGAGAGCCACAAUCUUCAAGCAAAAGAACUCCCUAUCUAGGG